This 489-nucleotide ribosomal RNA is filed under the name uncultured Corynebacterium sp. RNAcentral describes it as "bacterial SSU rRNA". It matches the Rfam family "Bacterial small subunit ribosomal RNA", at positions 8 to 507 of the family's 1533-position model. The record is from RNAcentral. Lineage: Bacteria; Bacillati; Actinomycetota; Actinomycetes; Mycobacteriales; Corynebacteriaceae.
AGAGUUUGGAUCCUCGGGCUCAGGACUGUAACGCUGCGGCGUGCUUAACACAUGCAAGUCGACGGAAAGGCCCAGACUUGCUUGGGUACUCGAGUGGCGAACGGGUGAGUAACACGUGGGUGAUCUGCCCUGCACUUCGGAUAAGCCUGGGAAACUGGUCGUAAUACCGGAUUAGACGAUGGUUUGGAUGCCAUUGUGGAAAGUUUUUUCGGUGUGGGAUGAGCUCGCGGCCUAUCAGCUGGUUGUGGGGUAAUGGCCUACCAAGGCGUCGACGGGUAGCCGGCCUGAGAGGGUGUACGGCCACAUUGGGACUGAGAUACGGCCCAGACUCCUACGGGAGGCAGCAGUGGGGAAUAUUGCACAAUGGGCGCAAGCCUGAUGCAGCGACGCCGCGUGGGGGAUGACGGCCUUCGGGUUGUAAACUCCUUUCGCUAGGAACGAAGCGUUUUUGUGACGGUACCUGGAGAAGAAGCACCGGCUAACUACGUG